RNAcentral lists this ribosomal RNA (255 nucleotides) under uncultured bacterium. RNAcentral's name for it is "partial 16S ribosomal RNA". It matches the Rfam family "Bacterial small subunit ribosomal RNA", at positions 524 to 776 of the family's 1533-position model. The record is from RNAcentral.
UACGUAGGGGGCAAGCGUUGUCCGGAUUUAUUGGGCGUAAAGAGCGUGUAGGCGGCCAGGUAGGUCUGGUGUGAAAACUCGAGGCUUAACCUCGAGAUGUCAUCGGAAACCAUUUGGCUAGAGUCCGGAAGAGGAGAGUGGAAUUCCUGGUGUAGCGGUGAAAUGCGCAGAUAUCAGGAAGAACACCAAUGGCGAAAGCAGCUCUCUGGGACGGUACUGACGCUGAGACGCGAAAAGCGUGGGGGAGCGAACAGG